UACGUAGGGGGCAAGCGUUGUCCGGAUUUAUUGGGCGUAAAGAGCGUGUAGGCGGUUUGGUAGGUCCGCUGUGAAAACUCGAGGCUCAACCUCGAGACGCCGGUGGAAACCAUCAGACUAGAGUCCGGAAGAGGAGAGUGGAAUUCCUGGUGUAGCGGUGGAAUGCGCAGAUAUCAGGAGGAACACCAAUAGCGAAGGCAGCUCGCUGGGACGUUUACUGACACUGAGGCGCGAAAGCGUGGGGAGCGAACAGG
Molecule: ribosomal RNA, 254 nt
Filed under: uncultured bacterium
Lineage: Bacteria
Description: partial 16S ribosomal RNA
Rfam family: Bacterial small subunit ribosomal RNA
Source: RNAcentral